Molecule: non-coding RNA, 81 nt
Organism: Yersinia pestis CO92
Lineage: Bacteria; Pseudomonadati; Pseudomonadota; Gammaproteobacteria; Enterobacterales; Yersiniaceae
Rfam family: antisense RNA of dnaA mRNA
Source: Rfam
UUUAGCAUUGGCUUUACGGGCCAUAAUGCCAUUCCCCACCGCGUGUAGCAGAUGGGUUUUACCCAAGCCUGUUCCGCCAUA